RNAcentral lists this ribosomal RNA (864 nucleotides) under uncultured Paenibacillus sp. RNAcentral describes it as "partial 16S ribosomal RNA". The record is from RNAcentral. Lineage: Bacteria; Bacillati; Bacillota; Bacilli; Caryophanales; Paenibacillaceae.
CUAGAGUUUGAUCCUGGCUCAAGACGAACGCUGGCGGCGUGCCUAGUACAUGCAAGUCGAGCGGACUUGAUGGAGUGCUUGCACUCCUGAUGGUUAUCGGCGGACUGGGGAGUAACACGUAGGCAACCUGCCCGCGAGACUGGGAUAACUACCGGAUGCGGUAGCUAGGACCGGGUGAUUUAUUUCGCCACGUAAGGGAAUACUGAAGGAGGGAGCGGUCAGUCGCUUCCCGGAUGGCCGGCACCGGGUGGGCUAAUUGGGGAGAGGAGUCAGUAUUACAGAGGAGAACAAGGGACACAAGAGGGCAAGGGGUGCCGUGGGGGGGAGGAGGGGGGGGAGGAGGGGCGGGUGGGAGCGAGAAGGGGGAGAGGGCAGGGAUCUGAGGGGGGGGGAGGUAGGAGACAAGGCAGGGAUGGGGGAGGAAGGGGAAAGAAAAAAGGGGGGGGGGGAAGGGGGUAUGGGGGCCGCCGGGGGGGAGGGGACGGGGGGGGCGGGGGGGGUCCAGAGGGGAGGGGGGACGUGGAGGGAGGGGGCCGCGGUGCCGAAGGGGGAGGGGGGGGGGAGGGGAGGGAGGGGGGGGGGUGUGGUGGGGGGGGGGGGGGAGGGGAGAAUAAUAGGAGAGAGGGAGGAGAGGGGGGGGGGAUGGGAUUGGGGGAGGGGGGGCGGGGAAGCGGAGGGGGGGGACGUGGCGGGAAGGGGAGUGGGGAGUAGAUGGGGAGGGGAGGGGGGGGGGGGGGGGGGGGACGGGGAGGGAGGAGGGGGCGAGAGAGGGGGGAGUGGGGGGGGAGGGGGGGAUGUGGGCGGGGGAGGGCGAGGAGGGGGGGUGCUGGUGGGCGGGGGUGGUCUUGGGUGGAGAGAGGGGGG